Molecule: ribosomal RNA, 445 nt
Filed under: uncultured bacterium
Lineage: Bacteria
Description: partial 16S ribosomal RNA
Rfam family: Bacterial small subunit ribosomal RNA
Source: RNAcentral
GUGAGGAAUAUUGGUCAAUGGACGAGAGUCUGAACCAGCCAAGUCGCGUGAAGGAAGACGGUUCUAUGAAUUGUAAACUUCUUUUGUGCAGGAAUAAAGUGGGUUACGUGUAACCUUUUGUAUGUACUGUACGAAUAAGGAUCGGCUAACUCCGUGCCAGCAGCCGCGGUAAUACGGAGGAUCCGAGCGUUAUCCGGAUUUAUUGGGUUUAAAGGGUGCGUAGGUGGAUUGGUAAGUCAGCGGUGAAAGUUUGCAGCUUAACUGUAAAAUUGCCGUUGAAACUGUCGGUCUUGAGUGCAAAUGAGGUAGGCGGAAUGUGUUGUGUAGCGGUGAAAUGCUUAGAUAUAACACAGAACUCCGAUUGCGAAGGCAGCUUACUGGGAUGCAACUGACACUGAUGCACGAAAGCGUGGGUAUCAAACAGGAUUAGAAACCCUAGUAGUCC